CCCCUCUCAGGAUCGCAACUGGAGAGUUUUCAAUACUCUUCCAGUCUCGGCUUUGGGAGGGAGAGUCAAGCAGAAGCAUACCCAUUUCAUUCCUAGCUUAGGCAGUGGCUAGCUAGUGGAAGGCAAUCUGCUAAAGUC
Molecule: small nucleolar RNA, 138 nt
Filed under: Ornithorhynchus anatinus (platypus)
Lineage: Eukaryota; Metazoa; Chordata; Mammalia; Monotremata; Ornithorhynchidae
Source: RNAcentral